AGAUAUUGACAUUGCUGGCCAUCCAUAGUUGUGAUUGAUCGGAUCAAUCAAUCGUAACUCUUUGCAAGACGGGGCCCCGAUCACUUCAUAUUUGAGUGGAUUGUAAGAUAUUAUUUUCGCAUUGUUAAUAUUGCAUUUUAGAGUACUUUGUAUGUUUGCCGAUUUAACAGGGUAGGUGUGGUGUUGAAUAUAGAUUAAUAACCCAUUUGAUGUACCUUAGUUAUUGCUAUGGUAAUCAUGGUGAAAGGGACUUCUGGUUGUGAGAAAAGUGACAGCAUUGAUUGAAAGAUUUAAGGUUCUUUUCAGGUUCUUUUCAUAUGAUUUAUGAAGAAUUAAUUUUUAGAAAAUUAAUUUUUAAUUUUUAAAAAUUCCAAAAAUAGUACAGAAUUAACUUAUCAACACUUGAACUUCCUAACUUUGCUGUAUUGUGUAAACGCUUGAUUCAAUAUACGAAAGGCAAAGAUGGCAAAUUCUGUGAAGUUCCGGAAUAAAGAUACAAAUUUGCGUUGAUCUCAGAAGUAUUGACACGCAAUACAUCUGAUAAAGUGAUCGGUUGAACUUAAAUUAUCAGAUUUUGGCUCUUGGAAUUAAUAAUAUAUAGGUUUAUGGAAUAGGGCCCAGGGCUACUUAACAUGCUAUCAUCAAAGUCAAAUUUGAAACCGUUGUUUGUAAUUUGUAGUAAUUCAAUCUGCAUGAAACGGACCUAAAGGGCAAUUGAUUAAUCAAUGAAAUCGAUUUUUUAAAGAUGUAGUAAUAAUUGCAAAGUUACAUGUACUACUAUGACUUAGUAUUGUACAAUGCAAUGGAAUUUCAGCAUUUUUUAGGUCUUGUACUUGCAAGCUGCAUAAUUUAUUUAUAAUUACAUUAAGUUUGUAGAAUAGCUUGUGUAGAUUCUUGUUAGGACCCACUUGAUGUGAAAUUUUUGUACGAGUCUAAUGAAAAUGUUGCAAUUGAUACUACAUCUAUUUGUAUGAACUUAUAUCUCCAGACUACAAAACCUUGAAUGUACAUAAUUUGAUUAUUCUCUAUUUCAAAUGAGAUGUGGUAACGCAGGUGAUCUGCAACUAAAAUUUUGUGAAAGUUGUGAUUCUGUCAAUUCAGUGAGUUGUAAAUGAAGGCUAUAUGACGAUUUUACGUAUGGUAGUGUUGAUGUUGAUGAAUUAAUGGCUUGGCUCAGUGAGCAGUAAGAUUUUUCUCUUGACUCGCUUUAUGCAUUUGUAUAACAGUACUUUUCUUCAUUAACAGGACUAUGCACCUUCUAAUAUGUAAUGCUUAACAACAAUUUUUAAAAAUAUUUUAUAGAUGUAGGGUCUUUUUUAAUAAUACAUGUUCACCCAACCUGCUGACGUACGUUGAGUUUAUCGCAUAAUUGUAGAAUUGCUGUGAUGGGCAAAAAUUCAGUUUUUAUUUUACAUCCAGGACCCCUUCUGAGAAACACUUGAUUGAUCCAAUCAUCCUCAAUAAUGGAAAGUUACUCACAUCAUGAUAUAGAAAAUGCGUGUUUUUUUUUCCAAAGUGGCAUUUUAUAGACCUCUUGGAUAAAGAAUGGUGACAUCCAUGGCUUGCCAUAUUCUAACUUGAUUGGAUCAAUCAAAACUCUUUAUAAAGAAGGAACCCUGAUCAGACAAUCAUUUUUAUUUUACAACCGAUGACUUAUGUGCAAGGUUGAUUGUACACCGAUUGUCAGUUGUGUAGCAUGAAAGGCAAUGUUUCAUCUCUUGUGGAACUUGUGGUAGAUAUGACUCGUGCUUACUCACUCAGCCCAACGGUGUUUAGAAGAUCAAUAUUCUGAGAGGACCAGACACUCGGGUGUUAAAAUACACUAUAGACUUUGAACAUACUACAUAGUGUCGAAAACAUACAAUGUGCUAUAACACCAUUGGGUUUUAAACUAACACCAUAAGUAUAACACUUAGCUAUUCAUUUGAUUGGAUCAUGUGUUGGAAAAUUCUUUCAAUUCCUGUCUGGAUUUCAUGAUGACCCAAUUCCCAUUAAUAUCCUAAUGCUGAGUUCAAAGACAUCCCAUUGAAAUACACUUACAUUUAGUAUUUGUGAAUUUUUCAUAAAGAACAUGUGUAUUUGGUUUACAAAAGGUGUAUACUAAUCUUGCAAUAUUUGAAAGAGGCCCUUGGAUUAUCUUUUUAUUACUGUUGAUAAAGCUACCGGUACUUACAUGUAAUUCAUGUCAACAUUCUUGUAUAUAAAUUGUAUUUGUUGCUAUGAAAUGUAUAGGGCCUAUAGACCGCUAUCCUGUUCUUUGUAGAUAUGAAUGGAUGUGUUUAUAUUUCUUACUAUCGUUAUUCAUAUUGUACUGUAUUGUGUGGCAAUAACAAAUUAUAGAAAUAUAUAUAAACA
Lytechinus variegatus (green sea urchin) is the source of this 2355-nucleotide long non-coding RNA. RefSeq lists it as uncharacterized. Lineage: Eukaryota; Metazoa; Echinodermata; Echinoidea; Temnopleuroida; Toxopneustidae. The transcript has 2 exons. The record is from RefSeq and is a predicted model, not a curated record.